Molecule: long non-coding RNA, 432 nt
Organism: Lacerta agilis (Sand lizard)
Lineage: Eukaryota; Metazoa; Chordata; Lepidosauria; Squamata; Lacertidae
Exons: 3
Source: RefSeq, a predicted model, not a curated record
CUGUAGCUCUGUGAAGAGGAAGCCAUUUAAAGUGCUAUCAUUAAGUUUUACAUGUGUUGUUCUGAUAUGGCUUCUUGGGCACAGAGAGAGCAGGGCAAGCAAGUGGACAUCGGCAACAGUGGUUACUUCCCGUGAGCUUACAGAAGACCAUCACUGCAACAAGAACAGCAGCAGCUUUGAAUAACACCAGUUCCCACCUAUUAUCAGCAGCUGGGAAGCUUUUCUAUACAAAGGCAUUCUAAUUGCUAAACAGAUUCAGCACACUGAGCUACAGUUCCUCAAACACAUUCCAUCUGCAGCGGCAUGCCACGGGUGUGAUCCAUCUGGAAAUGUUCUUGUGGUCCCAUCAAACGUUUUCAUUCAUUAUGCCCAGAGAUGUGCCUUUAAGCAUCUCUCAAGCUAGCUGUUAGUGUGAGAGAGAAAAUGGAAAGA